CAUGAAAACCCAUGUUGUUGGCGCUGAUUUUGCAGCAGAUCUCCAGUCUGCAAGUCCACCGAGAAGUGAACAAUCACCAUUCUCACUACUUCACUGGAGAAAUUGAGCAGGAAACGAAAGAUCUGGUCAGAUAGAGAAAAAAAGAGAGUGCAUGCUGUACCUGCACUAUAAGUAGAGGCAGAGGUCUCAAAGCUGGUCUUGGUCGUCCAAAUGCAAGAAUAAGAACUGGAGAACCAUUGUGCACGGAGGAUUUGAAGGAUUGGACGAUUGAUGUGUUCACCGAUGCACUUGCUCGAGCAGAAGAAAGUGUUCGUAAUUCAAGAUGACUUCAAUCUGAUUUGUACUUACCCUGUACAUUGCAGUAAUGUAAGGUCCUUUUCAAGAGUAGACUGUCCAUGUAGUUUACUCGCCUAGUAAAUUCUUGGAUAACUGAUAAGUCCAUGAAGGUAGAAAAAUGCAGGUCACACAUUUGAUGUCAUCAUCACAUUUUGAUCGAGUGAACUGAGGCUCAGCAUUCCACAGAAGCAUGAUUUAGGUUGUAAGGUGGGUGAUUUCGUUGUUCAUUUUCUGAACUUUUGGUCAUUUGCAUAUCAAAUGCAUCACCAGAAACAAAUUCCAAGUUAUCUUUAAUAUGAUACCAGCUAAAAAUUCAGAAACAUGUAAUGCCAGGUCAUCGAUGUGAUGCUUUCGACCUUCCAUUUAGUUUCCUAUGGGGAUCUUGAUCAA
Molecule: non-coding RNA, 726 nt
Organism: Punica granatum (pomegranate)
Lineage: Eukaryota; Viridiplantae; Streptophyta; Magnoliopsida; Myrtales; Lythraceae
Source: RefSeq, a predicted model, not a curated record